RNAcentral lists this long non-coding RNA (538 nucleotides) under Ovis aries (sheep). RNAcentral describes it as "lncRNA (ENSOARG00000025871.1)". The record is from RNAcentral. Lineage: Eukaryota; Metazoa; Chordata; Mammalia; Artiodactyla; Bovidae.
AUGGCCAGGCUGGGCCCUCAGCCCAGAGAACGCCACGAACCUCCGGGAGCAGGUGCUGAGAUCCCUCUGCCAGUAAAGCCCCACCCCACAGUCUCCCACAGCCUCAGGUCACCUGGGUGGGGUCUCUGCUGUCCAAAGCCCCCUCAGGCCCCUGUGCAGCUGAUGGGACGGGUGCUGCUGGCAGUCUUCCCCAAGCCUCAAGGACCCCCACCCGCACCCCUACAUAGCAGUGUCCCCCCAACCCGGGAGCACUGCGGGGUUCAGGCACAGGUUCACAACUGCAGGGACACUCGCUGCGGGCUGUUCGAUCCCUCACCCAGACCCCAGAGCCCCCGCACGGCUGACCUCCGGGCACCCAGCAGUCCGGGUGGGGCCAAGCCCCCCUCGAAGCGCCACGCAAGUCCCCACGGACAUCGGUUUCUCGUGUCGUGAGGGGAGCCUGUCGUGAGGCGGAUGCUCUGAGGCCCGCGCGCCCCCCAGCCCCAGACCUCGAGGCCGCUGCGGGCGAACACGCGGGCGGGGCGGGGAGGCGGCCGGA